Molecule: ribosomal RNA, 492 nt
Filed under: uncultured bacterium
Lineage: Bacteria
Description: partial 16S ribosomal RNA
Rfam family: Bacterial small subunit ribosomal RNA
Source: RNAcentral
AGUGAACGCUGGCGGUAGGCCUAACACAUGCAAGUCGAACGGCAGCACAGUAAGAGCUUGCUCUUACGGGUGGCGAGUGGCGGACGGGUGAGGAAUACAUCGGAAUCUACUUUUUCGUGGGGGAUAACGUAGGGAAACUUACGCUAAUACCGCAUACGACCUACGGGUGAAAGUAGGGGAUCUUCGGACCUUGCGCGAUUGAAUGAGCCGAUGUCGGAUUAGCUAGUUGGCGGGGUAAAGGCCCACCAAGGCGACGAUCCGUAGCUGGUCUGAGAGGAUGAUCAGCCACACUGGAACUGAGACACGGUCCAGACUCCUACGGGAGGCAGCAGUGGGGAAUAUUGGACAAUGGGCGCAAGCCUGAUCCAGCCAUACCGCGUGGGUGAAGAAGGCCUUCGGGUUGUAAAGCCCUUUUGUUGGGAAAGAAAUGCAGCAGGUUAAUACCCCGCUGUUCUGACGGUACCCAAAGAAUAAGCACCGGCUAACUUCGUG